UAGGGAAUCUUCCACAAUGGGCGCAAGCCUGAUGGAGCAACACCGCGUGAGUGAAGAAGGGUUUCGGCUCGUAAAGCUCUGUUGUUAAAGAAGAACGUGGGUAAGAGUAACUGUUUACCCAGUGACGGUAUUUAACCAGAAAGCCACGGCUAACUACGUGGCAG
This 164-nucleotide ribosomal RNA is filed under the name uncultured bacterium. RNAcentral's name for it is "partial 16S ribosomal RNA". It matches the Rfam family "Bacterial small subunit ribosomal RNA", at positions 355 to 511 of the family's 1533-position model. The record is from RNAcentral.